CGCGUCCUCGCCACCGGCCGCUGGGGGCGCUCGGUCGUGGGAGGCCGGCGGGGCGGCCCGGUGCUGGGGCGUCAGCUCCCUCCUCUCCUCCCCACCGCCCGGCCCAGAGAGGUUAAGCAGUUUGCCCGACGUAGCCCAGCCAGGACGCGGAGACGCAGGAAGCGGGGCCUCCAGACUGAGACAGGCUGCCUCUUAUCCCUCUACGGACUCCGGGGAGGGCUACCCCUCGCCCCCCCGCCCCCCCCCCCCCCCCCCACAGAGCAAAGCUGCUUUCUAAUGCCGCCCUCAUUUUUCUAAGACGCAGGUUAAAAAACAAAGGAAAAAAAAACACAUUUUUGAGAGCCAAAGCCUUUUGACUGUUGGCUUGAGCCAGGCCAAGAUCCCCGGCUGAGCCCAGGCAGCUGUCACUUUCCAGUAGGAAAUACCCAUUGAAAUACCCAUUGAAGGUUUUAACAGGACAGACAUGAUUUGGACAAAUCUACCGACCCUAUUCCUUCAGGACAUCCUGAGCCCUGAGGACAGGAUCUCUGUGUGGCUCACCCUUGGGCGCCCGCUGAAGGUAUGGUUGGCAAACCUGGUGAGGCGGCCUGGAAGAAGACCUUGCCUUCGGAAGGAAAAGUCUGUACUAGACCAUCUGAAGAAACGCAUUUUAUUUGUUUCAAGUCCACACAGUGAGGAGAGCUGGCUACCCAGGUGGUGCCCGUUGGAACAAAGAGAAAACUGAUCUAUGAUUAAGACACUGAAGCAUCUGCACAGGAGUCAAGACCCUUGCCCUGUGCAUACCACGUGACGAAUACUGUGUGAAGGAAUGGUAACGUGCUUUGAGAACAUUCCUGAUGCCCUGUCCACAUGGACGGUGUGCACGGCAAAACCCCUCUCUCACCGAGGGAGGCUUUGGCCUCCUCAGCCUGGGCCAGUCACCAGGUCUUGAACACAUGUCUCGGAUGCUGUAAUUCCGGACACUGUGUCAGCAAACCUCUCUGCUUGCCAGGGAAAGGCACCCCCUCUCCCUUCCAGGAGUCAGAAAUCCAUCUUUCAAGGCUCAGAACAGUCACAUCCCACUCCUAGAAGGGGGAGAGGGCAGCCCCCAGAUUCGUGACUCGGCCUCUGCCUCAGAAAUAGAAGUUCAUCCAAAGUGAACUUGCUCCCUAAAUAA
This is a long non-coding RNA of Canis lupus familiaris (dog), 1156 nucleotides long. RefSeq lists it as uncharacterized. The record is from RefSeq and is a predicted model, not a curated record. NCBI's taxonomy places the organism in Eukaryota, Metazoa, Chordata, Mammalia, Carnivora, Canidae. The transcript is spliced from 2 exons.